GACGGGCGGCUCUUACCAUGCAGUCGAACGAUGAAGCCCAGCUUGCUGGGUGGAUUAGUGGCGAACGGGUGAGUAACACGUGGGUGAUCUGCCCUGCACUUCGGGAUAAGCCUGGGAAACUGGGUCUAAUACCGGAUAGGACCUCGGGAUGCAUGUUCCGGGGUGGAAAGGUUUUCCGGUGCAGGAUGGGCCCGCGGCCUAUCAGCUUGUUGGUGGGGUAACGGCCCACCAAGGCGACGACGGGUAGCCGGCCUGAGAGGGCGACCGGCCACACUGGGACUGAGACACGGCCCAGACUCCUACGGGAGGCAGCAGUGGGGAAUAUUGCACAAUGGGCGCAAGCCUGAUGCAGCGACGCCGCGUGAGGGAUGACGGCCUUCGGGUUGUAAACCUCUUUCAGUACCGACGAAGCGCAAGUGACGGUAGGUACAGAAGAAGCACCGGCCAACUACGUGCCAGCAGCCGCGGUAAUACGUAGGGUGCGAGCGUUGUCCGGAAUUACUGGGCGUAAAGAGCUCGUAGGCGGUUUGUCGCGUCGUCUGUGAAAACCCGCAGCUCAACUGCGGGCUUGCAGGCGAUACGGGCAGACUUGAGUACUGCAGGGGAGACUGGAAUUCCUGGUGUAGCGGUGAAAUGCGCAGAUAUCAGGAGGAACACCGGUGGCGAAGGCGGGUCUCUGGGCAGUAACUGACGCUGAGGAGCGAAAGCGUGGGUAGCGAACAGGAUUAGAUACCCUGGUAGUCCACGCCGUAAACGGUGGGCGCUAGGUGUGGGUUUCCUUCCACGGGAUCCGUGCCGUAGCUAACGCAUUAAGCGCCCCGCCUGGGGAGUACGGCCGCAAGGCUAAAACUCAAAGGAAUUGACGGGGCCCGCACAAGCGGCGGAGCAUGGUGGAUUAUUCGAUGCACGCGAGACUUUACCUGGGUUUGACAUACACGGACCGCCCAGAGAUGGGGUUUCCUUGUGUCGUGUACAGUGUGCAUGCCUGUCGUCAGCUCGUGUCGUGAAUGGUGGUAGUCCGGCACGAGCGCAUCCUUGGUCUGUGUUGCCAGCACGUAUUGUGGCAACUCGCAGGAACUGCUGGGUCACUCGAGCAGUUGGAGCACGUCAGUCACUAUGUCCUAUGUCAGCUUUCAACAUGUCGUUUUCAG
This 1151-nucleotide ribosomal RNA is filed under the name Rhodococcus ruber. Its description in RNAcentral is "bacterial SSU rRNA". It matches the Rfam family "Bacterial small subunit ribosomal RNA", at positions 38 to 1236 of the family's 1533-position model. The record is from RNAcentral. Lineage: Bacteria; Bacillati; Actinomycetota; Actinomycetes; Mycobacteriales; Nocardiaceae.